GGGGGACCCUGCCAAGUGGCUGGAUAAGUCACAGUGUAGCGCCUAGCGGCUAGACGCUGCACAUUACAUGUGUGGCGCCUAGCCCGGAGGCGCUGCACUGCUGGGUGCGGGCCCAGGGGCUGCCACGAUGGACAGGAGUGCAACGCCGCCGCGCUAGGCGCUGCACUGUAGGGUGUGGCGCCGGCGUGGCGGGCGCUACACAAAAGGGUCAGUCGAGUGAAAUAGUUUCGCACCCAGUUCAUUCUAUGAAAUGAUUUCGUCCCGAGGUCAAAAUUGUCAAAUUGCACUCGCCCGUGACCCGAUCUGCCGAAGUCACGGGUCACGCCGGUGGCCGGCACCCUGCUUCUCGUUCGUGCUCUUGACCGCCAAAGACUGAGCUCUCCCAGAGACCGAAGCCAAGACCGCGUGCCUCGCGUGCAAUCUCGAGGAGAUCCUGGCUCGUACGGAAGGAGGCGGUCAGCCAUGGCCGUCGCUGCAGCAACGGAGCCCGCGCUGGCCCGCCCGCUCCGCAGCUGAUGCGGAGGUGGUGGGAUUUCCGAAGCCCACGAGGGCGACCUCUGCCGGAUCUGGUGCCCACGCGUGGUAGUCGACGCGGCAGGACUUGUGGGGGAGCAGGUGAUUUUGGAGCUGGAGGUGGAUGGGGGAUGGAGCGCCGUGGACUGUGCGAGGACACUGUCUGAUCCUGUGUGCCUAGCGUCAGCGACUUUCCUGCUGCGUAGCUAGAUGCACGGCGGCUGAACAUCUUCCUCAUGGAGUUGUAGACUCGUUUUGCUCUUUGUCCCUGACCGCAGGAGGUGCAUCGGAAAUAUGGUGAAAAUAAGGGUUAACAUAAGAUAGUGUCAAGGGGGAAUUGACUAUCACCACCAGGCGGCAAUAAACUAUACCACACAUCAUGACAGAGGAAGGAAAUCCAUAUUUUUGUCAGCUACUACUAACACUGUAUGUCUUUGUGUAUGACAUUUGGCUGGCAAACUCACAGUUCAUUAUGUCAAAUGAGAAAUGAGACAAAACACUCUUGUAGCUGACUGUCAACAUGAGAAAUGGAACUAUUAGUCUUUCUA
This is a long non-coding RNA of Triticum aestivum (bread wheat), 1061 nucleotides long. RefSeq lists it as uncharacterized. Lineage: Eukaryota; Viridiplantae; Streptophyta; Magnoliopsida; Poales; Poaceae. The record is from RefSeq and is a predicted model, not a curated record. The transcript has 2 exons.